This 72-nucleotide transfer RNA is filed under the name Bos taurus (domestic cattle). It matches the Rfam family "tRNA". Rfam says of the family: Transfer RNA (tRNA) molecules are approximately 80 nucleotides in length. Their secondary structure includes four short double-helical elements and three loops (D, anti-codon, and T loops). Further hydrogen bonds mediate the characteristic L-shaped molecular structure. tRNAs have two regions of fundamental functional importance: the anti-codon, which is responsible for specific mRNA codon recognition, and the 3' end, to which the tRNAs corresponding amino acid is attached (by aminoacyl-tRNA synthetases). tRNAs cope with the degeneracy of the genetic code in two manners: having more than one tRNA (with a specific anti-codon) for a particular amino acid; and 'wobble' base-pairing, i.e. permitting non-standard base-pairing at the 3rd anti-codon position. The record is from Rfam by way of RNAcentral. Lineage: Eukaryota; Metazoa; Chordata; Mammalia; Artiodactyla; Bovidae. RNAcentral also lists the same sequence under 4 other names.
UCCCUACUGGCUCACAUGGUAAAGAAUCUGCCUGCAAUGCAGAAGACCUAGGUUUGAUCCCUGGGUUGGGAA